UGAGAGGUUUUUUUUUUUUUUAAAACCACCCAAAUCUAAAAAAAAAAAGUUGU
Molecule: non-coding RNA, 53 nt
Organism: Oryzias latipes (Japanese medaka)
Lineage: Eukaryota; Metazoa; Chordata; Actinopteri; Beloniformes; Adrianichthyidae
Source: Rfam